UACGUAGGUGGCAAGCGUUGUCCGGAUUUACUGGGCGUAAAGGGUGCGUAGGUGGAUAUGCAAGUCGGAUGUGAAAUACCCGGGCUUAACUCGGGUGCUGCAUUCGAAACUGUAUAUCUAGAGUGCAGGAGAGGUAAGUGGAAUUCCUAGUGUAGCGGUGAAAUGCGUAGAGAUUAGGAAGAACACCAGUGGCGAAGGCGACUUACUGGACUGUAACUGACACUGAGGCACGAAAGCGUGGGGAGCAAACAGG
Molecule: ribosomal RNA, 253 nt
Filed under: uncultured bacterium
Lineage: Bacteria
Description: partial 16S ribosomal RNA
Rfam family: Bacterial small subunit ribosomal RNA
Source: RNAcentral